RNAcentral lists this ribosomal RNA (440 nucleotides) under uncultured bacterium. RNAcentral's name for it is "partial 16S ribosomal RNA". It matches the Rfam family "Bacterial small subunit ribosomal RNA", at positions 338 to 795 of the family's 1533-position model. The record is from RNAcentral.
CCUACGGGAGGCAGCAGUGGGGGAUAUUGCACAAUGGUGGCAACCCUGAUGCAGCGACGCCGCGUGGGUGAAGAAGCGCCUCGGCGCGUAAAGCCCUGUCAGCAGGGAAGAAAAUGCCGGUACCUGAAGCAGAAGCACAGGCUAACUACGUGCCAGCAGCCGCGGUAAUACGGAGGGGGCAAGCGUUAUCCGGAUUUACUGGGUGUAAAGGGGGCGCAGACGGCGAUGCAAGCGAGGAGUGAAAGCCCGGGGCCCAACACCGGGACUGCUCGUGAGACUGCGUGGCUGGAGUGCAGGAGGGGUAGGCGGAAUGUAUGGUGUAGCGGUGAAAUGCGUAGAGAUCAGACGGAACACCGGUUGCGAAGGCGGCCUACUGGGCUGCAACUGACGUUGAGGCCCGAAAGCGUGGGGAGCAAACAGGAUUAGAUACCCGGGUAGUC